CAUUGUCAUCAGCUCCACGCAUCUCAGCAACGGACACUUUCGCAACAUCAAGGGAGUUUUCCGGGGCCCUCUCAGCAAGAACGGGAACAAAACUCUGUUUUCAGGCCUGCCAUUCUUGGUGUUGAUUGUGGCAAUUGAAAAUACCACUUUCAGAUCAAAUAAUAAUGCAUAGAAGAAGAAGCGACAUCAUCUGUUCCUGUUAUCAUCAGAGUUACCCUCUCGCCCUCCAUCUAUUGGCCAGAAUUGGGUGGACGGACCUCUCCCUGGCAAUAAAAAGGAGAUAGCCAUGGGUGAUGUAGCUGGCUCAUGGUCAUCUCAAUCUUAUGGAAUAGAAUGGAUGUUGAUCAUCUACAAUGUCAAAAAAAUAGAGGGAAAAAAAACAGACAAAUAGGAAAAAAAUCUAAAAUGGUUUACUGAGGGAAUAGAUCUGUCUAAUGGUUCUGUAAAACAUUUAGAAUUGCAAGGUAUUACAAUCUUAAAAUGUUACAAUCUGGAUUUAUGUAUUUUUAGCUAUUUCUAUUACACUCUAAGGCAAAAAUUCACUAUUAUAAGUAAUAGCUAAAGUUGUAUUGCUAAAAUAAUGCCCCAAAUGAGAUGGAAUAAAAUACUCUGUGGUGGGAGAAAGGCCUCUCUCUACUACCUAAAAAAAAAAACUACAACUAUGGCUAAAUUCUGUAUUUUUUGCUAUUAUACUGGUAAGCUCCACUUUAGGAUUUUGUGAUUCUUCAUCCUCUUUUUAUGGGAAUUCUGUCUUUUUGCUUCAUCACAGUCUUGCAUAAGAUUAAAACCUAGUGAAUUGCUUCUGGCUGUAAUGUUAACUAAUUUACACUACCUGGCUCUCAUAACGAAAAAAAUCCAAACCCACUGCCAUCGAGUCCAUUCUAACUCAUAGCAACCCUGGUCUCAACCAAAUAAGCUCCCUGUGUGACUCUCUGGAUGGUCUGGAGAUCUGGAUAUUUAUUUAUUUUUAAAAACAGUCAAGUGCACAAUAAUAAAUAAUAAAUUUAUUAAACUACAGAUUUGCCCCUUUUAUUGUUUUUAUUGUAACAAUUUUCUAGGAUGUUAUAAAUCCAUGAACUGUGUAAAUAUAUAUUUUAUAACAUUCUAGAAAAUUGUUUCCUUAAAAAAGUGGAAGUUUUGUAAGUGGUUGUAUAUUACAAUGCUUAAAAAGAAGACUUUUUAUAGAAUCUAUAAAAAUAUAAAUACUCUUCAAUUAAUCAAAAUUAUUUGAGUGGUUUUGAUUACAGGCGUUAUGAAAAUCAGACUAUGAAUCACACUGGCAUUUCCAGCAUUAUUGUUCAUCACAGAAGUAAGAUUAAUUCAGGAAUAAUUUUUAUUAUAAUUUACUUUUAUAAUUCAAAUCAAUUUCUCCCUAUCCACUAUUUCUGAUUAAGAUAGAAAUACUUUAUACUUAAAAGUCACCAUAGCGGCUUUGCAAUGUUUGACAAGUACUUGAAAGAGGUGAGAGAGCAAGGAACACAUGCCUGACUUCUUCAAGUUAAACGUUCUGAUUCUGGGACAGAAGGAAGGAAAGGAAUAGCUAACAAAGUCCCUCUCAUGCCACCACCCAGAAAUUAAAGAGAGCCCGAAAAAUGCUAGGACUCUGAGUUGAAUUUUACCAACAAGAAAGAGCUGGUAUUGAAGUGACAUGAUCCUUGGCCAACAUUGGCUUACUAAGUAAGGGUAAUUCUGUGGGAGAUGUCUCCCUUGGAUACAAGGGUAGGGAAGUAUAUCAUCUCCAGAGAAUUUUAAAAUAAUGAUAAAGCCCAGGCUCAGGUCCUGAACAAUGUCAGUGAUAAAAUACUCCUCUCUUCUAAAUAUAUUUUAUUGAUUAAAGUUGUAAGCAAUUGCUAUUUUUUUACUGUUGAGUCUUGAUAAUAUGCAUGUAAGUUUUAAGGUACACACAUAUUUAUUACUUAUCCUUUAAUAUAGUGGUUAAGCACUUGGCUGCUAACCAAAAAGUCUAUGGUUUGAACCUGUCAGCCACUUUGCAGGAGAAAGAUAUGACAGUCUGCUUCUGUAAAGAUUACAGCGUUGGAAACCCUAUGGGGCAGUUCUACUCUGUCCUGCAGGAUCACUAUGAGAUGGAAUCAACUCGAUGGCAGUGAGUUUGUUUUUGUUUUUUUGGUGUUUCCUUUAAUAAAUAUUGUAUUGCACAUAGAUGUUAAUUUGGUGAACUACCAUCUAUACAACGAGCCUUGAGACGUGUAAAAUUAGCUACACAUGAUUUUGUUGUUAUUUGUGUAUUUUGGUUUUUAUUUACUUGAGAAUAAAUUCAUAGUUUGAAAUCAUUCAUGACACAGAUGUCUUCAAUCCUUGUAAAACUACAUAUUCCUACAUUAAAACAGUAGAUUCUAAGAGGGCAAUGGUGUUGUUUUGUGCUGUUGAGUCAAUUCUGACUCAUAGUGACCCUAUAGCACAGAGAAGAACUGCCCCGUAAGAUUUCCAAGGAGUGGCUGAUGGAUUCAAACUGCCGACCUUUUUGGUUAGCAGCCUGAGCUCUUAACCAUUUCACCACCAUGGCCCCAGACAAUGGUAAUGCAGUGAUUUUAAAAAUUAAAAAAAAAAAAGGAAUAUAAAUUAUUCAAAUUUCUCAUUCUACAUUCAAAGCAAUCUCAACUUUAUGGGGUUCACUUUUAUGGAAGCAUUCUUCCUGAGUUUUUUCUCACUAUAAAAUUAGAUUAAUGUAAUUAAAAAUACCAGUUCAUUGAUAUAUCCUUGUUUGUGCUGUGAUAGUCUUAGACAAGAUUUUCUAGAGAAGGAAAACCAGUGAAACGUUUGUGUAUACAUAUAGAGAGAGAGAGGAAGAGAGGGAUUCAGUUCAAGAAAAUGGCUCACAUGGUUGCAGAGGCUGGCAAGUCCAUGGGUCAAGUGUCAGGCUGGAGGUUUCUCCUGACUCAAGUAGCUGCAGGGGCCAACGAACCCAAGAAUGGCAGGUGAGACAGUAGGCUGCUGGCUCACAGGCUGCAGAGGUCAAUGAAUCUCAAGGUCAGCAGGCAAUAUGGCAGGCUGCCAGCUCAAGUCCCAAGAACAGGAGGUCAGCUGAUGAUGAGCUGGGUGCAGGAUCCAGAGUAAGUGAGCAAGCUUUGCCAGAACGUCCAUAUGUAUAUUGAAUGCAGGCCACACCCCCAAGAAAACUCCCCUUUCAAUUGAUUAGCUGAUCACAACAGAUCACAUCAUGGAGGGUGACUGCAUCAUUACAUAACUGCCAAAUUCCAUCAUUAUGUAACUGCCAAAUUAUAUCAUUACAUAACUGCCAAAUCACUGAGAAUCAUGGACCAGACAAGUUGACACACAACCUUAACCAUCACAGAUAUGUAUUUCAGUUUCUCUUUAUUUCAUUUCAUUUUCUUGGCAUGAUUGCUUGUGUAUGUGUGUGUGCAGUUCAGUAAAAGAAGCAAUUCAAUAUUUGCAUUUUUUAUCUUCUUUUUAUUCGUUUCGUUUUAUGAUUACUACUGAAAACAAUUUAGUUUUAUGAAGGCUGUUAAAAUUACUUCACCUAUGUGUUAAAUAUAGCAUAUACACUACUGUUGCCAUAUAAAACUUUUUGCUAAAUUUAUUCAUUAAAACUUUUCAUUUGUGGUUCUACUGCUUCUUUCCCACCUGUGCAGUGUAUACAUACUGUCAGAGGUCAAAUGAGUGAUAACCAAGCCUGAACUCAGGUGUUUUGAACUUACCUCCAUGGUAAUACCUUUUGAGAUUUAUUGUAUUUAUUUAAUUUCCUGAAUCAUUGCUCCAGGACUUAGAUUUUAGAGAGUAUUGCACUGCAUCUUUUUAGUGUAUUUUUUCUCUCUCCCUUCAGUUUCAAUGGAUAGAACAUUUUCUAAACUAGAGCUGUUAAACGGAAAAAUGCAUAAAAAUAAUGACACAAUGGAGGUAGUGAAAAAUGCAGAUUAUGAAAUUGUGGAAUGUUAUUUUUAAGAAUAUACAAGUAUAUUUAGGAUAUGAUGAUGUAAAUAUUUUAAUAAUUAUAUUAGAUAAAAUAGCCUGUAAUUUUUCCCCUUAAUGUAGGAAGGAUUUCAAUUUAUUUCAUUUCUAACACUGUCAGCACUGUUAUCAAAUGUGACUCUUAAUGUCUGCAAUAACGUCUAACUGGAGCCUCAUCAUUGUCCUCUGCUCUCGAUAACAUCCUGUACUCAUCAGUUUCUUUUGUGGCAUGUGUGAUUAUUUUUCCUCUGUAACCUUUUAUUGACUGCCAGAAAUGCCUAUUCACUUGAUCUUCUCUUCCCUGUUUAGUUAGAUAUUCCUUUAAAACAUAAGUCUGGCCAGAUGAAACCAUAAGCUGGCAGAUGGUUCCAAGUGAUUUUUGAUAAGGAAAGGGUUCCUGUGAACAUGUGGCUCCUCAACAGUUCCUACCCAAGACGUGAUGUACAAUUUGUGAGCUUGCAUGGGUUACGUUUCAAGUCCCAUGAAGAUAGAAAAAAAAUGAAAAUAAACACAGAUGCUUAAAAUAAGGAAC
Loxodonta africana (African savanna elephant) is the source of this 4459-nucleotide RNA transcript. It is a transcript of the gene named zinc finger protein 804A, with no coding region annotated. Lineage: Eukaryota; Metazoa; Chordata; Mammalia; Proboscidea; Elephantidae. The record is from RefSeq and is a predicted model, not a curated record. The transcript has 2 exons.